GGUAAAUUCUGUCGAGACCGGAAGUCAUGAUCUAAACACUGGAACUGCAAAAAAAUGAACACCUAAUUAAUAACUUGACUUUGUGGUUGGAAAUUCAUUAUGUUAUCAGUCAGACAAGUCCUUCAACAAUGAGAAAAGGUUUUAAAAAAAUUGAGGACAGAAAAGCAGCAGAAAGUGAAAGACUUGAAGAAAUAUAGGCAAUAAGACUCAAUCUUUUUAUGGAUAUACCAUGAGUAUGUAGCACUAUUUCAUAUCUAAGUGCAGUAUUUAUCAAUCAAUGUUAUACGACGGAAUAGAAGAGGUAUUUAAAUGGACAGUGGAUUUUGAUAUCAUAAAAACCAAUGUUGAAAAGCACUUCAAAACAGCUUGAAAUCAAUAUCAACUCUUAGAAAGAUGGUUAGAGAGAUCAUCAACCAAGUCUGAGGCUUAACCAUGAACUAA
This is a long non-coding RNA of Mytilus trossulus (common blue mussel), 441 nucleotides long. RefSeq lists it as uncharacterized. NCBI's taxonomy places the organism in Eukaryota, Metazoa, Mollusca, Bivalvia, Mytilida, Mytilidae. The record is from RefSeq and is a predicted model, not a curated record. The transcript has 4 exons.